This is a non-coding RNA of Nicotiana sylvestris (wood tobacco), 98 nucleotides long. Lineage: Eukaryota; Viridiplantae; Streptophyta; Magnoliopsida; Solanales; Solanaceae. The record is from Rfam.
GUCUUUUUUUGGACACCUGAUAAAUUGGAACGAUACAGAGAAGAUUAUGGUUCUUGCGCAAGGAUGGCACAAACAGUCAAGAAAUGGUCAAAUUUUUG